RNAcentral lists this ribosomal RNA (517 nucleotides) under uncultured archaeon. RNAcentral describes it as "bacterial SSU rRNA". It matches the Rfam family "Archaeal small subunit ribosomal RNA", at positions 325 to 849 of the family's 1478-position model. The record is from RNAcentral.
ACGGGGUGCAGCAGGCGCGAAACCUCUACAAUGCACGAAAGUGUGAUAGGGGGAUUCCACGUGCAAGCUUUGCUUGCUUUUCUCAAGUCUAAAUCGCUUGGGGAAUAAGGGCUGGGCAAGACCCGUGCCAGCCGCCGCGGUAACACGGGCAGCUCAAGUGGCGUUCGCGUAUAUUGGGCCUAAAGCGUGCGUAGCCUGUCAGGUAAGUUCUUGGUGAAAGCUUGCGACUUAAUCGUGAGAAUGGCCAGGAAAACUGCCCGACUUGGGACCGGAAGAGGUCGGAGGUAUUCCUUGGGUAGGGGUAAAAUCCUGUAAUCCUUGGAGGACCAUCGGUGGCGAAGGCGUCCGACUGGGACGGGUCCGACGGUGAGGCACGAAAGCUAGGGGAGCGACCCGGAUUAGAUACCCGGUUAGUCCUAGCCGUAAAUGAUGUCUGUUUGGUAUUGCGUGGCUUACGGGGCCCCGCAGUGCCGUAGGGAAGCCGUUAAACAGACCGCCUGGGAGUACGCCGCAAGGC